This 460-nucleotide ribosomal RNA is filed under the name uncultured bacterium. Its description in RNAcentral is "partial 16S ribosomal RNA". It matches the Rfam family "Bacterial small subunit ribosomal RNA", at positions 338 to 795 of the family's 1533-position model. The record is from RNAcentral.
CCUACGGGAGGCAGCAGUGAGGAAUAUUGGUCAAUGGGCGCGAGCCUGAACCAGCCAAGCAGCGUGAAGGAGGAAUGCCCUACGGGUUGUAAACUUCUUUUAUAAAGGAAUAAAGUGUGGCACGCGUGCCUUUUUGUAUGUACUUUAUGAAUAAGGAUCGGCUAACUCCGUGCCAGCAGCCGCGGUAAUACGGAGGAUCCGAGCGUUAUCCGGAUUUAUUGGGUUUAAAGGGAGAGUAGAUGGGCUGUUAAGUCAGUUGUGAAAGUUUGGGGCUUAACCGUAAGAUUGCAGUUGGAACUGGCAGGCUUGAGUACAGGUGAGGUAGGCGGAAUUCGUGGUGUAGCGGUGAAAUGCUUAGAUAUCACGAAGAACUCCGAUUGCGAAGGCAGCUUGCUGAACUGCCACUGACGUUGAGGCUCGAAAGUGUGGGUAUCGAACAGGAUUAGAUACCCUUGUAGUC